Molecule: RNA transcript, 3293 nt
Organism: Quercus robur (English oak)
Lineage: Eukaryota; Viridiplantae; Streptophyta; Magnoliopsida; Fagales; Fagaceae
Gene name: 4-hydroxy-3-methylbut-2-enyl diphosphate reductase, chloroplastic-like
Exons: 2
Source: RefSeq, a predicted model, not a curated record
AACCCUUCAUUUCCAACUUCGAAGUCCACAUGACAUUGAGUCAACAUGAAUAAAACACUUUCCUUCACCCUUCCGGAUUAUCCCCCAAAGAAAGAAAAAAAAUCUGUAAUUCUUGUACAAGUUCUAGUGUUUUACUCACAAAGAAACGAAAUAAGCAGAUAUGGCAGACGCUGUUGUGACUUUCCUGUUGCAGAACCUGACUCAGUUGCUUUCCCAAGAAUCAAACUUGCUAGCUGGAGUAGAGGAUCAAGUCAAAUUACUUAAGAACGAGCUGUCUCUGGUCAACGUCUUCCUCCAAAAUACUGAAGGGAAGCGGCAUGACAGUGGCUUGGUGAAGGAGUUGGUCAACCAAAUCAGGGACGUAGCCUAUGAGGCUGAGGAUGUUAUUGAUACAUUCAUCAUAACCAUGACCAAGCACAGGAAAAGAAGCAAGCCAAGGAAGGUAAUCCAUUUCUUUGACAAAGCAAUCGCACUUCAUGAGGUAGCACACAAGAUAGAGAGCAUCAAGAACUUGAUCAAGGAAACUUACAACAAUAGGAGCAAGUAUGGCAUAGAAAUAGCUGAAUCAUCUGGAGGAGAUGCAGAAGCCGAGGAGAUACUGCACAGGCGCAGGAGAUAUGUAGAGGAAGAUCAUGUGGUGGGCUUUGGUCAUGACACAGAGGCAUUGGUGAAGCAGCUUAUUGAAGGGAAUUUGCAACAUAACGUUGUUUCAAUCAUUGGCAUGGGGGGUCUAGGUAAGACAACUCUUGCUAGGAAGAUCUACAACAAUAAUAAUGUCAAGAACUACUUUGAUGUCCAAGGGUGGGUUUAUGUCUCUCAAGAAUAUAGAAUCAAAGACCUGUUGCUUGAAAUUUUGAAGAAUGUGACACCAAUGCCAAAACUGAAAAAAUUUAUGUUGAAAGUCGAAUUGAAAGACGAAUUACUCCAUGGUUUGGAAACUAAGUAUAACUUAAACAAGGAUAAACUGAAAGGGACACUAGUUGAAGACUUGAAAGGUACCGUGGAAAUGAAUGAUGAAGAAUUCAGAAAGGCAUUGUUUGAGUUCUUGGAACACAUACAAGACCAUACACUGAGAAAUUCCUUGUCGGGUUUCGUGCGAGGUAUUUACAGGAAGAAUGGUGAAGGAUUGCAAGAUUUGAAUGACGAUGAAUUGAAAAGUGCGUUGUUCCAUUACUUGAAAGACAAGAGGUACCUACUUGUCAUGGACGACAUCUGGAAAACUGAAGUAUGGAAUGAGGUAAGUACUGCCUUUCCUAAAAACUUGAAUGGAAGUAGAAUAUUGAUUACUAGCAGAAUAAAAGAAGUAGCAUUACAUGCAAGUAGUCAUAAUAAUAGUAUUUAUAUUCCCCCUUAUGAACUCCAAUUACUUGACCAAGAUAAAAGUUGGGAGCUCUUCUCUAAGAAGGUGUUUCGGGGAGAUACAUGUCCUCCGGAACUUGAAACUCUAGGGAGACAAAUUGUAAAAAACUGCCAUGGUUUACCACUUGCAAUUGUGGUAUUGGGAGGUUUUUUGGCAAAUAAGGAGAAAACACAUCGAACAUGGUUGAAAUUGAUUGGCCAUGUCAAUUGGUAUCUGGAUCAGAAUAAAUCAUUUUGCAGAGACAUAUUGGCUUUAAGCUACAACCACCUAUCCCAACACUUGAAACCGUGCUUUCUAUAUUUUGGUAUCUACCCAAAAGACUUUGAGAUACCAGUGAUGCAACUAAUCCGACUUUGGAUAGCUGAGGGAUUCAUACAGCAAACUGGGAGUAGAAAUAUGGAGGAUGUUGCUGAGGACUACUUGGAGGAACUCAUUGAUCAAAGCUUGAUUCAAAUAGCAACGAAGAGGCUUGAUGGAGGAGUCAAAACAUGUCGUAUCCAUGAUCUUCUACGACACCUCUGUAUAUCGGUGAGUGCUGAAGAGAAGUUUCUUGAGGUUCGUUCAAAUGUUAACCUUUCACCCAUGAGCAAAUCCCGUAGAAUUUCCAUCCACAGUGCCAACCAUCCAGACAUUUCUUCCAACCCUUGUGAGCCUUCAAAUAGUCGUUCUUUCAUAGGCUUUGAGGAGGUUGUCAAGCUCGAGAGUCCUCUUGAUAAAAGCAACUACUUGAAAUGGCUAUGUGAAACUAACAAAUUGGUUCGGGUGGUAGAGCUUAGUAAUAUGGGCAUUUGUUGUUUGAUCCCCAACAAAAUUGAAAACCUGAUCCUUUUAAGGUACUUGAGCAUUCAAUCUGGAGAGCUUCAUGUCAUUCCAGAUUCCAUAUGCAGCCUUUGUAAUCUAGAGACGUUGGACCUGAGAAAUUCUGAAAGGACAAAUUAUAAAAUAAAAUGCUUGCCUAAAGGGAUAUGGAAGUUACAAAAAUUAAGACAUUUGUACUUGGAUGGGCCAACAUCUCUACCGAGAACUGACAAUACAGUGACUUUACCGAAUCUUCAAGUCCUUACUGGUAUAGCUAUAAAUGAAGACAUUGAGAGUCUCUUUGCCAAGGCCAGAUUUCCUAAUGUACGAAAAUUAGAAUUGCAUUCUAUAAGAUGGACGGAGUCAGGACUUUUGUCAAGCCUCCAUCCCUUGCGGCAUUUACAAACUUUGAAGAUUUAUGAACUUAUGUUGCUUUCAAGUCCAACUUCAUUCCACUUGACACUCACAAAGAUAACCAUAUUUGUAGGCGCAAACUUAUUUGGUGGUGGCGUGAUGAGAGUGUUGGGUAGCCUUACAAACCUUCGAAUACUCAAAGUAGUAGGAGAUGGCCAUCAUCAGAUCACCCUCGAUUGUGAUGAAAGAAGUUUUUGUCAACUUGAAGUCUUUAAAAUGGCAAAAAUGCAAGUUGUACAUUGCUCUAUGGGGAAAGGUGAAAUGCCAAGGCUUCAACGUUUGAUCAUCGAGUGUUGUGAUUUUUUUUUUAUGCCCCCUGAAGAACUACGUUGGUUGACUGCCAUUUGGAAUGUGGAUGUUUUAUAUCCUGGUCCAACAUUGGCAAAGAUGGUUCAACAGUUGCAGAAUCAGAUGAGGAAUGGAUGUAAGCUCCAAGUCUAUCCACCUCUUGACCCAACUUACCGAGAGAGUAGAAGUUGAGAGGCUUCAUUUGUUAUGCUAUGUUUUGGCGGGGGCAGAGUCCUGAGGGGGGUCAAUGCUCCUCUGUUCGUCCUUUAGUUCACAUAUUGCUGGUGAUAUCAUAAAGACUUUGAAGGAGAAUGGAUAUGAGUAUAAAUGGGGAAAUGUUACUGUGAAAUUGGUGGAAGCGUAUGGCUUUUGCUGGGCUGUUGAGCAGGCUGUUCAGAUUGCUUAUGAGGCGAGGAAACAGUUUCCGGAUGAG